RNAcentral lists this ribosomal RNA (464 nucleotides) under Vreelandella stevensii. RNAcentral describes it as "partial 16S ribosomal RNA". It matches the Rfam family "Bacterial small subunit ribosomal RNA", at positions 338 to 795 of the family's 1533-position model. The record is from RNAcentral. Lineage: Bacteria; Pseudomonadati; Pseudomonadota; Gammaproteobacteria; Oceanospirillales; Halomonadaceae.
CCUACGGGGGGCUGCAGUGGGGAAUAUUGGACAAUGGGGGCAACCCUGAUCCAGCCAUGCCGCGUGUGUGAAGAAGGCCUCGGGUUGUAAAGCACUUUCAGUGAGGAAGAACGCCUGGUGGUUAAUACCCAUCAGGAAAGACAUCACUCACAGAAGAAGCACCGGCUAACUCCGUGCCAGCAGCCGCGGUAAUACGGAGGGUGCGAGCGUUAAUCGGAAUUACUGGGCGUAAAGCGCGCGUAGGUGGCUUGAUAAGCCGGUUGUGAAAGCCCCGGGCUCAACCUGGGAACGGCAUCCGGAACUGUCAAGCUAGAGUGCAGGAGAGGAAGGUAGAAUUCCCGGUGUAGCGGUGAAAUGCGUAGAGAUCGGGAGGAAUACCAGUGGCGAAGGCGGCCUUCUGGACUGCCACUGACACUGAGGUGCGAAAGCGUGGGUAGCAAACAGGAUUAGAUACCCUGGUAGUC